This 449-nucleotide long non-coding RNA is filed under the name Cavia porcellus (domestic guinea pig). Its description in RNAcentral is "lncRNA (ENSCPOG00000035712.1)". Lineage: Eukaryota; Metazoa; Chordata; Mammalia; Rodentia; Caviidae. The record is from RNAcentral.
CAGUGGAGCUACCUUCUCCAGAUGACAUCAUGUCUCCUCUGUUUCUCAUUAUAAAGUUGAGUUUCAGAUGUUAAAACCAUAUCCUCCUCGUUCCUCGGCUUUCUUCUUCCCCUGCUCUCACACAGUCCCAGCCUGAUGGCAUUCCAUUGUUUUUACAGUGGAAUCGCAGCGCCAGACACACAGACUUAUUAACCUGGGAAAACACUCAUAUUACUUAUUAAAGAAAAACAGCGCUUGCAAUCCUAAAAUAAGCUACUAUUCUAUGAUAUUAUAACAGUACCACUCCUAUGCCAACUGCAAGCAUCUUUUCAGAGAUAAAUUGUGGAAAAUUGGAAAAUUAAAAGGACACAGGCAGCACUGUUGAUGUGCAGAAGAUAUCUGACAAAUGGAAACCAGAUGGGAAGCUGAUUGAUAUCAAUACAUACAAAACUUUGUUCUCUAUAAAGUAA